This 200-nucleotide ribosomal RNA is filed under the name uncultured bacterium. RNAcentral's name for it is "partial 16S ribosomal RNA". It matches the Rfam family "Bacterial small subunit ribosomal RNA", at positions 29 to 256 of the family's 1533-position model. The record is from RNAcentral.
AACGAACGCUGGCGGCAUGCCUAACACAUGCAAGUCGAACGAGACCUUCGGGUCUAGUGGCGCACGGGUGCGUAACGCGUGGGAACCUGCCUUUAGGUUCGGAAUAACUCCCCGAAAGGGGUGCUAAUACCGGAUAAUGUCUUCGGACCAAAGAUUUAUCGCCUUUAGAUGGGCCCGCGUAAGAUUAGGUAGUUGGUGGG